UCGAGCGAAGCACUUUGUUUUGAAUCUUCGGAGGAAGAACGAAGUGACUGAGCGGUGGACGGGUGAGUAACGCGUGGGCAACCUGCCUCAUACAGGGGGAUAACAGUUAGAAAUGACUGCUAAUACCGCAUAAGACCACAGUACUGCAUGGUACAGUGGUAAAAACUCCGGUGGUAUGAGAUGGGCCCGCGUCUGAUUAGCUAGUUGGUGAGGUAACGGCUCACCAAGGCAACGAUCAGUAGCCGACCUGAGAGGGUGACCGGCCACAUUGGGACUGAGACACGGCCCAAACUCCUACGGGAGGCAGCAGUGGGGAAUAUUGCACAAUGGGGGAAACCCUGAUGCAGCGACGCCGCGUGAGCGAUGAAGUAUUUCGGUAUGUAAAGCUCUAUCAGCAGGGAAGAAAAUGACGGUACCUGACUAAGAAGCCCCGGCUAACUACGUGCCAGCAGCCGCGGUAAUACGUAGGGGGCAAGCGUUAUCCGGAUUUACUGGGUGUAAAGGGAGCGUAGACGGCGAUGCAAGCCAGAUGUGAAAGCCCGGGGCUCAACCCCGGGACUGCAUUUGGAACUGUAUAGCUAGAGUGUCGGAGAGGCAGGCGGAAUUCCUAGUGUAGCGGUGAAAUGCGUAGAUAUUAGGAGGAACACCAGUGGCGAAGGCGGCCUGCUGGACGAUGACUGACGUUGAGGCUCGAAAGCGUGGGGAGCAAACAGGAUUAGAUACCCUGGUAGUCCACGCCGUAAACGAUGACUACUAGGUG
Molecule: ribosomal RNA, 760 nt
Filed under: uncultured bacterium
Lineage: Bacteria
Description: bacterial SSU rRNA
Rfam family: Bacterial small subunit ribosomal RNA
Source: RNAcentral